Molecule: long non-coding RNA, 272 nt
Filed under: Elaeis guineensis (African oil palm)
Lineage: Eukaryota; Viridiplantae; Streptophyta; Magnoliopsida; Arecales; Arecaceae
Description: long non-coding RNA (EGUI_LNC030285)
Source: RNAcentral
CCUCUAUAGCCAAUAUAUAUCAACCUCCUCUAGACAAAAGGUUUCUAGGGGCCCUCCAAAUAAGCUCUCUCACACUCAAUUUUAUGUUGACACACUCUCACUUUUAUAGCCCUCUCAAAUCUAUGUUAUUCUCAAAAAAUCCUUGCCUUACUUAGGCAUUGAAGGAUCUCUAGCCAAAUGAAUUUUGGUGACCUUUGGUGUAAAACUUUUUUCUCGUUUUGAAGUUCAUUCCUGAUUUCUUCAUCUAAGCAAAGCUAUCGUCAGCUAGUCAU